CUCCUCUCUCCUCUCCUCUCCUCUCUCCUCUCCAUGUGCUGCCGACCGCUCACACAGACAGGAAUCCGCUCACUGAGCGUCCAAAUUGGAAAGGGACCUCCGCGUUUCACUUGAUAAUUCUCGACUGUCUUCACUCUGCAAAAUUGUAGAGGAAGUGCCACAGCUAAACCGCGCUCCUCUGUUGUGUGUUUUGCGACACGUUUGAGUCCUCGCUUUGCUUUGUUUUUGCUCUUUAAGCCCUGGAAGUAUUCUUUCUCAACACAAGGACUGUGUUUCUGUAGCUGUGCGCGGAGAGACACCUCGACUUUAGGAGACAUGUGGAUGAGACGAGACUGUCAAUUGAAGACCCUCUUCGCGGUUCUGGUCCUCGCUGCUGCCGUGGACAGAAUACAUGGACAAGCUCCAAAGGAAAGCAUCAGGGACAGGGACUUGUCAACACAGGACACAGAGAGCGAGGUCCACUCUGUCACCACUGCCUCGCCGAUGAACGUCCCCAACCACCGGGCCGACCUCAAGGGCCUGCUGCUGCAUGAGCACCUACUUACGAGGGAUUUCCAGGGGGACCAGCAUUUUUUCAAGAGGGACGCCUCCUUGGAUGGAUAUUCCACCAUGCCGGGAGACCCCGUCACUCAGGUGGUGCCCCACGAGGACGCCCCGGCCUUCUCGGACAUUGCCACUACUGCCACCGCGGCCGCCACCUCCCCGCUGACCACAUUUUCUCCGACAACUCCCAGGCCGCUCAUGUCUUUCCCUGAAAAGAAGUCCUCUAAGAAAAGUGCGGACAAGGUAGAGCCAACGACGGACUCCCUCACCACUCAAGUGACGCCAAAUAAUAGAGGUUCAGUCAAUGAAAACCCAGUGGCUUCCUCAUCGUCGCAGAAAAGUCGGCCUCAAAGUUGGAGUGAUUCUCCAGUAGAAGGGACCCAUGCACCCUCCUCAAUGAAAUGGAGGAAGGGGAAGCUAUGGAAACAGCAUUGAAAAACAAACCCAGCCCCGAUCAUCCACUCCAUAACCUAGCUUCCAGAGAAGAAGGUCACACCACAACGUCCACAACCGUCAUCACCACCAUUACCACCAUGCAAACAGCAGAGCCAUGCAGCCUGAAUUUCACUGACCCUGAGGGCAACAUCGAAAUUCUGCAGCAGCUUGAUUCCGGAGGGGAGUGUAACUACCUGGUUACGGUCUACCUGGGAUAUGGCAUUGAGGUUCAGGUGCUAAAUGUGAGCGUGUUGGAGGGGGAGCAGGUGACAGUGGAAGACACAGGUGGACGAGAACCCUUCAUCCUCGCCAACGAGUCGGUCUUGAUGAGGGGCCUCGUGCUGCGCAGCUGGAGCAACCAGAUCUCCAUCCGAUUCCGUAGUGAGCAACGGCACAACUCCGGGUUUCUCCUGCUGCAUUACCAAGCCUUUGUGCUGAGCUGUGCGUUCCCCAAAGAGCCUGCUGGUGGAGAGGUUUCUGUGACGCACCUCCACGCCGGCGGAGAAGCCUACUUCCGCUGUUCCACCGGCUACAAGCUGCAAGGCCCCAAAAUGCUCACUUGUCGCAAUGCCACCACACCAUACUGGAGUGGGAAGGAGCCCCGAUGUGUGGCAUCCUGUGGGGGAAUGAUAAAAAACGCCACCUAUGGUCGCAUCGUCUCUCCCGGUUUCCCUGGCAACUACAGCAACAAUCUGACGUGCCAUUGGGUCCUGGAGGCCCCCGAAGGCCAACGGCUUCACGUUCACUUUGAGAAGGUUGCCCUGGCAGAGGAUGAUGACAGGCUGCUGAUUAAGAAUGGCAACAACAUAGACUCUCCUCCCGUGUACGACUCCUAUGAGGUGGAGUAUUUGCCCAAUGAGGGUGUGCUCAGCACUGGACGAUACCUGUUUGUAGAGUUCACCACAGACGGGACGUUGACCUCCACUGGUGCAGCCAUCAGAUACGAAGCUUUUGCGAAAGGCAUGUGCUACGAGCCCUUUGUGAAGUACGGCAACUUCAGCGGCAGUGACUCCACCUACGGUUUGGGCUCCGUGGUCGAGUUCUCGUGCGACCCCGGCUACACGCUGGAGCAGGGCUCCGUGGUCAUCGAGUGCGUCGACGCACAAAACCCGCAGUGGAACGAGACCGAGCCGGCCUGCAGGGCUGUGUGCAGCGGGGAGAUCACCGACUCUGCCGGUGUGGUGCUGUCUCCUAAUUGGCCCGAGGCCUAUGACAAGGGGCAGGACUGCAUCUGGGGUAUCCAUGUGGAAGAGGACAAGAGGAUCAUGCUUGACAUCCAAGUUCUCCAUGUUGGUAAGAAUGACCUGCUGACCUUCUAUGACGGCGAUGACCUGACCGCCAACAUCCUGGGCCAAUACAGCGGCACACGGCCACACUUCAAGCUCUACACCUCCAUGGCUGAUGUCACUAUUCAAUUUCAGUCCGAUCCUGCCACCAACAUCUACGGCUACAACAACGGCUUUGUGGUCCACUUCUUUGAGGUGCCGAGGAACGACACCUGCUCUGAGCUGCCGGAGAUCACCAACGGCUGGAAGAGCACGUCCCACCCUGACCUCAUCCACGGCACCGUCAUCACCUACCAGUGCUACCCUGGAUUUGAGCUGGUGGGCUCUGAGAUCCUCAUGUGCCAGUGGGAUCUCACUUGGAGCGGCGACGUGCCGAGAUGUCAGGAAGUUCUGACGUGUCAGGAUCCAGGAAAUGUGGAGCACAGUCAUAAGGUGAUCGCUAGCAACCGUUUCAUCGUUGGAUCAACGGUGCAGUUCGUCUGUAAUAAAGGCUACAUCCUGUCUGGCAACAGCCUCCUCACCUGCUACAACCGAGACUCAGCCACGCCCAAGUGGAACGAGAGGCUGCCCAAGUGUGCCCCUGAAAAGUACGAACCAUGCAGGAACCCCGGCGCUGCCUCCACCAGCGUGCAGAGCUCUGAAAAGGCCUUUUACCAAGCAGGAGAGAUGCUGACCUUCUCCUGCCGCUCAGGCCACGAGCUUCAGGGUGACGCCACCGUCUACUGUAUCCCUGGACACCCGUCACAGUGGAACAGCACUCCCCCUGCCUGCAGAGCAUCAUCAACCCAAUAUGAGAACGAACGCAGGCUAGAUGUUGUUAAUAUGGAUUAUAGCAUGACGGGAACCAAUAUCACCCUUGCCGUUUUUAUUCCGACUGCAAUCAUCUUAGUGGUUGUCCUCGGGAUUUGCAUCUACUUUACAAAACUCCAAGGGAAGACUGUCAGAAUGCCGACGUCCUCGCCACCAUAUGACAACAUGACAGAAGAGUCGGCUUUCGACAACCCCUUGUACGAGAGCGGAGUAAGUACAGAUGUCAUGAACAUGCAAGACGUGGAUUCCCAGAACACCAGUGUUCUGUCCUGAUCCUCUCCCAUCUGGCUGUCAUCCUGUCAUCAUCUCACGGUUCACCAGCAGAGGGCACCCUACUCCACCUCAUCUCUCAUCACUAUGUCAGUCAUCUAGUGGUCUUAGCUGAAGUUGCUCCUAAUAAUAGAAAAACAGGCACUCUUCCUCACCUCACUCAUGUCAUUUUCACCUUGGAUUCCCAUACUUCAUCCACAUGGAGGAGUGAGAGUGAUGUGUUAGACUUUCAGUAUCAUCAUUCACAUUGUGCACUGGCAGGCUCAUGCUAUAUACUAAACCCUGUCAGUCUGUCCACACUGGCUGUACUGCUCAACAACUAUGAGGACAAAUGAAAAAGCUUAAGAGGUGUCCAUUUAGAGACCUUAAAGCAAGAAUUGCUCAAGCUUUUGCCUUUUGGGACCCUCUCUGCACUGCUCAUCUUUUUUUCCUCCGACCUUUUUGUUCCCAAAUGAUUUCUUUCUCCAUUUUCCCUUUUGUGUGGAUUUACUGUAAAUAUGUCUUUUCUGUCCACGGUCAAAAUCUGUGAAUCUGUGGAUCACCAUGGUGAUAUUUUUAUAAAGUUAAAAUGGUGAUGACCGUUGGUGAUUGUAUGUUUUUAAGUACCUUUUUUUGAUGCCCUGAUCCAGUAGCAAUUAGAGACUGAGGGAAACAGUGCUUUGAUUUUUGAGAUCUGUUCUGAAAUUCCCCAUCAUCGCCCGACGUUCUUUGGACCAUCAUUACUUUCUUUUCUUUGUGUAUGGGUCUGCUCUUUGUAAAUAAACUGCCUGUCCAAUAUGAGUGCCUCACGACUGACUAUAAUCUGAGAAAUCACAUGUGAAAAUGUUUGUAAAACUGAAUCUUUGGUUUCACUAUGAUUUUGUAUUCGUAGGCCCGACAUUCUUAACACUCCACUGUGUUCAGUCAUACGGUUUCUCUUCUAGAAACAAAAACAAAUGAUGACGGAUAUUUUCCUACGAGCUGAUAUUGUAGUUCCAACCGCAUACAGCCUCAGAGGAUACAUACACUCAUACAUAUAGGACCCAUCAGCUAUGCAUAACUUUGUUCUUAUGUCACACUGUAAAGUCUGCCUCAAAGGAUAAAGAGCAAUUUGUUCAUUUGUGUAUGUUCCAAAAUGUGGUUGCACCUCAGCAUCAUCAGACCCUGAGAUGAAACCCAGUGCUAUGUCAUAAAGUAACCACAUGAUUUAGCUAACUUACCGACGCAGGCUGUGAGUCAAAUAUCCGAUUGAUUCCUACAACACAAUUAAAAUUGUACAGUGUGCAAGAUCAAUCCUUGUGUAAAAGAUGAGUUUUUAACUUUGGGUCACAUCUGCGUGUGUUAAAUCUGUAGAUAUAACCUCAUGUCCUUUGUGCAUAUCCUUUAUACUCUAACAAAUCUUUCUUUCAGCAUCACAGCUGGUGCAACCACAUACCCAGGAAACCAAAUCCCCUUCAAAUAUCUAUAAUCCUCUGGUUAAUAAUAAAAUAAAUUGUUGUUUUAAA
RNA transcript from Sebastes umbrosus (honeycomb rockfish), 4828 nucleotides. It is a transcript of the gene named seizure protein 6 homolog, with no coding region annotated. Lineage: Eukaryota; Metazoa; Chordata; Actinopteri; Perciformes; Sebastidae. The transcript has 18 exons. The record is from RefSeq and is a predicted model, not a curated record.